CGGAGUGUAGCGCAGCCUGGUAGCGCACCUGAUUUGGGAUCAGGGGGUCGCAGGUUCGAGUCCUGCCACUCCGACCA
Molecule: transfer RNA, 77 nt
Filed under: Mesorhizobium sp. Root157
Lineage: Bacteria; Pseudomonadati; Pseudomonadota; Alphaproteobacteria; Hyphomicrobiales; Phyllobacteriaceae
Also listed under: 7 other names
Description: tRNA-Pro
Rfam family: tRNA
About the family: Transfer RNA (tRNA) molecules are approximately 80 nucleotides in length. Their secondary structure includes four short double-helical elements and three loops (D, anti-codon, and T loops).
Source: RNAcentral